CUUGCGUGUCACCUGCCUGGGUCUGGCAGAAGGAGGCUCAAUUGAUUGGGUCGCCUUGGCAGUAAAUCUGGCCCAGUUGUUUCCACCUGAGAAAUCUGGAAAGAAUGCAAUGAAAAUGUCGGACUUCUCAAAGUUGCAGGACAAAUGAAGAACCGAAGAAUUUUCACUGAAGAGGGAAGAGCCCAAACACAAUCUGGUGUUUGAACAGAUGUCAGUGUUACAGCCAUCAACGUACCUAAACUUUACAAAGCAUCUGGCAGAAAGAGAAGCACUGAAAUUGUCAGAGGAUCUACUCACUACAUGGAGAAGUUUUUCCAAAGAAGACCCGCGGAAGUGAGCAAAGAAGAACAAAAACAAAAACAAGGCUCACAAUGGACACAGCAUGGUCACUGUCAUUUGUACAAGUUCCAGGCACAGUAUAAAGCCACAGAGUGA
This 435-nucleotide long non-coding RNA is filed under the name Felis catus (domestic cat). RNAcentral's name for it is "lncRNA (ENSFCAG00000053253.1)". Lineage: Eukaryota; Metazoa; Chordata; Mammalia; Carnivora; Felidae. The record is from RNAcentral.